CCCCUGGCGUGUGAAAUGGAUGUUAGUGACUAAAGCUCAAUUUUCCAGUUAAGGGAGGAGCCGAGACUUUUAAGUCGAGUGUUCCUGUGGGGCCAAAAGGAUGGUUUCAGAGAAAUCCCAGGAAGUGAGAGUGCUGGGAUAUGCGAGGGGCCCACGGAGCCCUCCCCUGCGUGUCUGAGAUCACACCCUGCGGGUACCCUGCCGUCGUGUGCUGAAGGAGAGAGAAAGGCUAGACUUACAGGGUGACCAAUAAUGCUGGUUUAUCCAAGAAGGGGAUUCCCAAGACACAGGGCUGUCAGUGCUAAACCAGGGUGUUCCUGUCCAACUUGGCUUCCAUAAGAACUUCAAUCAAAUUCACAGACCACAUUCAAAUUUGUCAAUUGUCCUAAUAAUAGCUAUUAUAGGUUCAGGAUCAUACAUAAUGUGUAGUUGUCAUCUCUCUUUAGUUUUCUUCAACCUGGACCAGUUCCUGAGUCUUACCUUAUUUUUAUGAUCUUGACAUUUUUAAAAAGAGCAGGUUACUCACUUUGUAGAAAGUCCAUCAAUUUGGGUUUGUUUAGUAUUUCUUCAUAAUUACAUGUAAGUUAUACAAUUUUUGGCCGAAUUGUAUAAAAAGUGAUGCUAUGUUCUAAUGGCAUCCUAUCAGGACAUAUACAAUAUCCAUUUAUCCUAUGCUGUUUUAACUUUUAUAAGAUAAUGUCUGACUCCUCUAUUGUAAAAUUAACUAUUAAAUAUUUGGUAUUAAUAUGUAGUCUGUGGAGAUAACUUUGGAAUUAUGUAAAUAUUCUAUUCCUUAUCAAAUGUUCACUUACUAGUUUUAGGAUCCAGUGAUGAGUCUUCCUUGAAUCAGUUUUUAUGAUAAUGAUUGCACAAUGAUCCUAACUCUAUCAUUUCUUCUAUGCUUAUUAGUUGGCAUCUUACUACAAGGUAGAGUUUUCCAUUCUGCCCCAGUUAUUUAUUUAUUCAUGCAUUUAUUCAUGCAUUUAUUCAUAUCAGCACAGACUUGUGAAUUUCUAUUUUAUUCAGUGGAUUAUAUCUGUUAUUAGCAUUAUUUGUUUUGAUGCUUAAAUUAUCCCAGAUUUGGUCAGUGGAAACUUUAUUAAGUUGGUUUCUGUGUUCUUAUGAAUAAAAGGAAUAAUAAUACUGCUUA
This 1150-nucleotide long non-coding RNA is filed under the name Homo sapiens (human). RNAcentral's name for it is "HSALNT0296314". Lineage: Eukaryota; Metazoa; Chordata; Mammalia; Primates; Hominidae. The record is from RNAcentral.